RNAcentral lists this unclassified non-coding RNA (171 nucleotides) under Moritella viscosa. RNAcentral's name for it is "putative sRNA". Lineage: Bacteria; Pseudomonadati; Pseudomonadota; Gammaproteobacteria; Alteromonadales; Moritellaceae. The record is from RNAcentral.
CCUCCGACUCUGUCGUAUUAGUGCUUUUAGUCAUGCAUAUUUUAAUUCAUGACAGUUAGUCCAUUUUCUUGUAAAGUAUUUGUAAUAUAACAACAGCAACUGGCCACAUACGACAUUAGGGUAUUUAUUACCGAUAGAAUUUAAGCAACAGAUAUUAAGAAAAGUGGCUUA